GUAGGGAAUAUUGGACAAUGGGGGCAACCCUGAUCCAGCGACGCCGCGUGAGUGAUGAAGGCCUUCGGGUCGUAAAGCUCUGUUGCAGGGGAAGAACACAAUGACGGUACCCUGCUAGAAAGGAUCGGCUAACUUCGUGCCAGCAGCCGCGGUAAGACGAGGGAUCCUAGCGUUGUUCGGAAUUAUUGGGCGUAAAGCGGGUGCAGGUGGCUUGGUAAGUCAGAUGUGAAAGCCUGGGGCUUAACCCCAGAAGUGCAUUUGAUACUGCUGAGCUUGAGUGCUGGAGAGGCUAGUAGAAUUCCUGGUGUAGUGGUGAACUACGUAGAUAUCAGGAGGAAUACCGGAGGCGAAGGCGGAUAGCUGGCCAGACACUGACACUCAGACCCGAAAGCGUGGGGAUCAAACAGGAUUAGAUACCCCUGUAGUCC
Molecule: ribosomal RNA, 428 nt
Filed under: uncultured bacterium
Lineage: Bacteria
Description: partial 16S ribosomal RNA
Rfam family: Bacterial small subunit ribosomal RNA
Source: RNAcentral